This 628-nucleotide unclassified non-coding RNA is filed under the name Hevea brasiliensis (rubber tree). The record is from RNAcentral. Lineage: Eukaryota; Viridiplantae; Streptophyta; Magnoliopsida; Malpighiales; Euphorbiaceae.
UGUACACCUUAUAAUCCUAAGAUGAAAGUACAAAAAGGCACAAGGUUGCAUCCCCUCAUGGUAAAAUUUUAGCUCAACCUCGGAGGUAAAAAUUAACCAACCUCACAGAAGCUCUAUAUACAAAAUUUUUGCCUUGAUCAUCUCAGAAAGCUAAUUCGGCAACUUGAGCUCAUUGUAUGGACUGUAAGGCAUCAAAAUUCGCUGACAGACGGUUCAAUGAAGCUGAGAAUCACACUGUUGGUUAGUGACCGUCCUCCUUUGUGCUUGCACUGGCACCUCCUCUGGCAUGUUUAAAGUCAUCCAAAUUUCGGAACUCUUCUCUGAGUAGUCUAUCCAGUUCUGGAAGCUUCUUCAAAGGUGCUCUCUGACCUCGUUGCUGACGGAAAUGGUGAAAGGCCCAGUACUUCUCAAGGCCGUAAAGGUUUCCCCUAUUGUAGGUGUCAAGCGUCAAUCUCUCAAAGUCGUCAUAAAGGUCCUCUCUAAAUUCCUUUUCCAAACCGUAACUAUAAAAUCUAAAUAGGCACUCCAUCCCAUAGUUAUAAUUAGCAGCUGCAUCUUCUUGAGCCAUCUUUUGGAACUCAUUGUACAUAGAACGUAUGAACAUGUUCCGCAGAAAAUACGACCAAAA